UUAGCACUUUCACAGGUCUUCCCUUAGUCAGUGGGGCCAGGCUUUGGUAGCUAGUCCUGAAAGAAAACCCUUGAUUACAUCCUUGCCCUGAUACUGUACCAGUGGUAGCUUUCACUCAAGGGAACAGAG
This is a small nucleolar RNA of Nannospalax galili (Upper Galilee mountains blind mole rat), 129 nucleotides long. The record is from Ensembl. Lineage: Eukaryota; Metazoa; Chordata; Mammalia; Rodentia; Spalacidae.